GGCCAAGGAGAUUCCCUCUCCUAGGGGCCGCGCGGUGCCCCUCCUGGAACGUAGCUCCUUGGCAGAGCAGCGAGCGGGCUCACGGGGGACGGGGCCUGAUCCUCGCCCCUUCCGGCCAUCCACGC
Tachyglossus aculeatus (Australian echidna) is the source of this 125-nucleotide small nucleolar RNA. RefSeq annotates it as small nucleolar RNA SNORA67. The record is from RefSeq and is a predicted model, not a curated record. Lineage: Eukaryota; Metazoa; Chordata; Mammalia; Monotremata; Tachyglossidae. The transcript has a single exon.